RNAcentral lists this unclassified non-coding RNA (520 nucleotides) under uncultured Glomus. RNAcentral's name for it is "SSU rRNA". It matches the Rfam family "Eukaryotic small subunit ribosomal RNA", at positions 569 to 1092 of the family's 1831-position model. Lineage: Eukaryota; Fungi; Glomeromycota; Glomeromycetes; Glomerales; Glomeraceae. The record is from RNAcentral.
AGCAGCCGCGGUAAUUCCAGCUCCAAUAGCGUAUAUUAAAGUUGUUGCAGUUAAAAAGCUCGUAGUUGAAUUUCGGGAUCAGUUGGUCGGUCGUGCCUCGGUACGUACUGGUCAAAUUGAUUCCUACCUUCUGACGAACCACGAUGUCAUUAAUUUGGUGUCGCGGGAAAUCAGGACUUUUACUUUGAAAAAUUAGAGUGUUUAAAGCAGGCUCGCGCUUGAAUACAUUAGCAUGGAAUAAUGAAAUAGGACGUUUGGUUCUAUUUCGUUGGUUUCUAGGAUCGACGUAAUGAUUAAUAGGGAUAGUUGGGGGCAUUAGUAUUCAAUUGUCAGAGGUGAAAUUCUUGGAUUUAUUGAAGACUAACUACUGCGAAAGCAUUUGCCAAGGAUGUUUUCAUUAAUCAAGAACGAAAGUUAGGGGAUCGAAGACGAUCAGAUACCGUCGUAGUCUUAACCAUAAACUAUGCCGACUAGGGAUCGGAUGAUGUUAAUUUUUUAAUGACUCAUUCGGCGCCUUACG